ACAGAUAAGGAUCCACUCAGAACUAUUGCCUUUUGUGGAUACAUUGCCCUCACUCCUUCUAAAGCAUAACACUCUCUCUCCAUCUUCCAAUUCUAACCUUGAAUUAAAUCCCCAUUAUACUAUAGCUUCCAACUAGCAUGUAACCCUCUCAUCUAAUUAAGAACUUAUUCGGGACAAGGACUUCCAUACUCCUGGUCCAAACAGUCAUAACCAGUAAAGAAGAACAUUUUCUCUGGGGAUGACAUUUUAUCCACGAAAAAUUAAAGAAUUUUUAACUUAUUGUAUUUCCUGCUUUAAUUGUAUCUGAUUCUGAUGGCUCCAUUAUUCUGUCUCCACUUUGUAUAAAUGUACACAUUCUGCAUUGCAGAGAAAUUAACUCAGACUCAGUUGGAAUUUGUGAUAAUUUGACUGAGACUGGAUGGGUUUAAAUUAACUUUCCUAUUAUCUAUGAAAAAAGAACUUUUGAAGAAAGUUAAUACUAUGAAAAUGGUUUCCUGAAGUUUAAUCUACCUAAGAAAAUAUAGCAAUUCUCAAGAACCUGGCAGCUACAAUUUGCAUAUAAAUGAUUAGUUCUCAAAUAUCUCAUAUGAAGUUAUCAAAGACGGUUCCAAAACCUUGUCAGCACUCAAAUAUUAGUUCAAGUUAGCCUAAAGAACUUACAAAAAUAAAAAUUAAAGAGCUCACCUAUAAUAACACAAGCUGUCCCCUUUCCCAAUUAUUUUCAAUUGGUAAAAGUGUUUUACAAAUUCACUUGUUCUCUACAUUGUUUGUUUUCAAGUCAUGUCUUGUGACCAUCUUUGCAAUUAGUGUAUGUAGCCUUUAGAAAGCAGGAGUUAGGUACUUUUAAAAAUUUUACUGAUACAUAACAAUUGUAUAUAUUUAAGGGGUACAUGUGAUUUUUUUUUUUUUUUGGUAGAGAUAGAGUUUCCCUAUGUUGCCCAGGCUGGUCUCAAAUUUCUAGCCUCAAGCAAUCCUCCUGCCUCAGGCUUCCAAAGUGCCAGGAUUACAGGCCAGAGUCACCAUCCCCAGCCCACAUGUGACAUUUUGAUGCACACAUACAAUGUAUAAUGAUUCAAUCUAGGUAACUGGAAUAUCCAUCAUCUCAAACAUUUAUCAUGUAUUUGUUAAGAACAUUCUCAUUUAUUAAGAACAGUCCAAAUCAUUUCUUAUGAGUGAUCUUGUUUGUUUUCACUUGUUUUAACCUAAGAAUUUGACUGAGAGACAAAGAUUCUAAUCAGGCUUUGCUUUUAAUGCAGUUAGAAUUCAGGCAUAUUAUUUUGUCCCUAAGCCUAUUUCCAGUAAAAAUAGAUAAAAUACCCAACUUACAUGCAGCGGUAGAAACAAAUGAUAUUAAGCAAAUGAAAGAAUUUAACACUGGACCUGGCAUAUUAGUAACAGCAUCAUGAGAGGAGUUUGCUUCUCUCCAUCCUUCCCUUGUACACUAUACAAGUCUCAGCAUCCACGUGCAAGAAAGAUGGUUGUACAGUGACUGACCCACAAGUGCCAGAUGCCUAUAUCUACCACCUGGUGGCUGGCUGUGUCUUCCCCGCUUCCCAGUUCAAGCCCUGUCCUGCCCCUUCUCUGUCCCAACCACGCCCUCUGGAAAGGACUCUCAAAGACUCAGAAGGGUCUUGGAGUCUUCGAGAAAGAACAAAUCAUAGGCUCUAGGACUAAAAUAUAAUGGCUAAAACAUAGUGAUACAAUCAUGGAGGAAUACCUGACAAAGCUCUU
RNAcentral lists this long non-coding RNA (1731 nucleotides) under Homo sapiens (human). Its description in RNAcentral is "non-protein coding lnc-ABCA5-10:3". Lineage: Eukaryota; Metazoa; Chordata; Mammalia; Primates; Hominidae. The record is from RNAcentral.